This is a non-coding RNA of Acanthosepion pharaonis, 114 nucleotides long. The record is from the annotation of a GenBank genome assembly. NCBI's taxonomy places the organism in Eukaryota, Metazoa, Mollusca, Cephalopoda, Sepiida, Sepiidae.
UUACGGCCAUGUCGCGUUGAAACACCGGUUCCCGGUACGAUCACCGAAGUUAAGCAACGUCGAGCCUGGUCAGUACCUAGAUGGGUGACUGCUUGGGAAUACUAGGUGUUGUAA